RAGUUUGAUCCUGGCUCAKAACGAACGCUGGCGGCGUGCUUAACACAUGCAAGUCGAACGUGAUCCAGAGCUUGCUCUGGUGAAAGUGGCGCACGGGUGAGUAACGCGUGGAUAACCUGCCCUGGUAUCUGGGAUAACAUCUCGAAAGGGGUGCUAAUACCGGAUAAGCCUACGGGGKCCUCGGACUCUGCAGGAAAAGAUGGCCUCUAUUUAUAAGCUAUCGUAUCAGGAUGGGUCCGCGUACCAUUAKCUAGUUGGUGGGGUAAUGGSCUACCAAGGCUACKAUGGUUAGCUGGUCUGARAGGAUGAUCASCCMCWYUGGAACUGAGACMCGGKCCASACUCCUACGGGAGGSAGCAGUGGGGAAUCUUCCGCAAUGGGCGAAARCCUGACGGAGUGACGCCSCGUGGGGGACGAAGGCCUUCGGGUCGUAAACCCCUGUCAGAGGGAAAGAAAUGAGUCUGGCUAAUAUCCAGAUUUCUUGACGGUACCCUCAAAGGAAGCACCGGCUAACUCCGKGCCARCASCCGCGGUAAUAC
Molecule: ribosomal RNA, 539 nt
Filed under: uncultured Geobacteraceae bacterium
Lineage: Bacteria; Pseudomonadati; Thermodesulfobacteriota; Desulfuromonadia; Geobacterales; Geobacteraceae
Description: partial 16S ribosomal RNA
Rfam family: Bacterial small subunit ribosomal RNA
Source: RNAcentral